Molecule: ribosomal RNA, 253 nt
Filed under: uncultured bacterium
Lineage: Bacteria
Description: partial 16S ribosomal RNA
Rfam family: Bacterial small subunit ribosomal RNA
Source: RNAcentral
UACGUAGGCAGCGAGCGUUGUUCGGAGUUACUGGGCGUAAAGAGUGCGUAGGCGGUUUUCUAAGUUUGGUGUGAAAUCUCCCGGCUUAACUGGGAGGGUGCGCCGAAAACUGGAAGGCUUGAGUAUGGGAGAGGUAAGCGGAAUUCCUGGUGUAGCGGUGAAAUGCGUAGAUAUCAGGAGGAACACCUGCGGUGUAGACGGCUUUCUGGACCAUUACUGACACUGAGACACGAAAGCGUGGGUAGCAAACAGG